Non-coding RNA from Pelobates cultripes (western spadefoot toad), 320 nucleotides. The record is from the annotation of a GenBank genome assembly. NCBI's taxonomy places the organism in Eukaryota, Metazoa, Chordata, Amphibia, Anura, Pelobatidae.
UCUAUAUUCAGACUGUGAGAUUCCCGCACAUGCCCAGGUAAACACUUGGACAUGCGAACGGGAAUUUCGUCUAUUCAUUCAUUCGUCAGAAAGACGAACGAAUGAAUAUUUCAGACGAACAAACAAACACUGAGUAUCGGCGCGCAGCUACCUCCUUGUAAUAUGUAAAGAUAGAAGCGGCAGGGAGCUGUGCUCUCCGCCACUUCAAUAUGACCCCAUAUUAGCAUAAGGGAGAUUAGGUAGGGGGUUACUUUUUUUUGGGUGAGUGACUAGGGGCUUGGGGACCCCUAGUCACCUUUGAUGAGGGGAGGGGGGGAAUU